Non-coding RNA from Pteropus alecto (black flying fox), 119 nucleotides. Lineage: Eukaryota; Metazoa; Chordata; Mammalia; Chiroptera; Pteropodidae. The record is from Rfam.
GUCUACAGCCAUGCUACCCUGAACAAGCCCGCUCCUGUCUGAUCUCAGAAGCUAAGCAGGAUCAGGCCUGGUUAGUACUUGGAUGGGAGUCCACCUAGGAAGACCAGGUGCUGUAGGUG